This 27-nucleotide non-coding RNA is filed under the name Mus musculus (house mouse). The record is from RNAcentral. Lineage: Eukaryota; Metazoa; Chordata; Mammalia; Rodentia; Muridae.
UGCUCUCUAACAUCAGCAACUGUCUCA